GUAAUACGUAAGGGGCGAGCUUUGUUCGGAAUUAUUGGGCGUAAAGGGUGCGUAGGUUGCUUCUUAAGUGUUUCUGUCAAGCCCGAGGCUCACCUUCGGGAAUCGGAGGCAUACUGGGGAGCUAGAGUCCGCGAGGGGUUAGUGGAAUUCCUGGUGUAGCAGUGAAAUGCAUAGAUAUCAGGAGGAACACCGGUGGCGAAGGCGACUAACUGGCGCUGGACUGUCACUGAUGCACGAAAGCUAGGGGAGCAAACAGGAUUAGAUACCCUGGUAGUCCUAGCCGUAAACGUUGUCAACUCGGUGAUGGGUGAGUCGAUCCGCUCAUUGCCUAAGCUAACGCGAUAAGUUGACCGCCUGGGGAGUAUGCGCGCAAGCGUGAAACUCAAAGGAAUUGACGGGGGCCCGCACAAGCGGUGGAGCAUGUGGUUUAAUUCGAUAAUAAGCGAGGAACCUUACCUGGAUUUGACAUGGACUAGAUCGGGUCUGAAAGGACCCCUCCCUUCGGGGCUGGUUCACAGGUGCUGCAUGGCUGUCGUCAGCUCGUGUCGUGAGAUGUUGGGUUAAGUCCCGCAACGAGCGCAACCCCUAUUAGCAGUUGCGACCAGUUCGGCUGAGCACUCUGCUGAGACUGCCUAUGAAAGUAGGAGGAAGGUGGGGAUGACGUCAAGUCCUCAUGGCCCUUAUGUCCAGGGCGACACACGUGCUACAAUGGGAGGUACAAACCGUUGCCAACCCGCGAGGGGGAGCUAAUCGGAAAAAACCUUUCUCAGUUCGGAUUGGAGUCUGAAACCCGACUCCACGAAGUUGGAAUCGCUAGUAAUCGCGAAUCAGCCAUGUCGCGGUGAUACGUUCCCGGGCCUUGUACACACCGCCCGUCACACCACCCGAAUUGGUUUGGCCCGAAGUCAGAUGGUUAACCUUUUUGGAGCCAUUUGCCGAAGGUCAGACUAUAACGGGGGGUGAAGUCGUAANCAG
Molecule: ribosomal RNA, 975 nt
Filed under: uncultured organism
Description: bacterial SSU rRNA
Rfam family: Bacterial small subunit ribosomal RNA
Source: RNAcentral